UACGGAGGGGGCUAGCGUUGUUCGGAAUUACUGGGCGUAAAGCGCGCGUAGGCGGACCUGCAAGUCGGGGGUGAAAUCCCCGGGCUCAACCCGGGAACUGCGUCCGAUACUGGCAGGCUUGAAUCCGGGAGAGGGAUGCGGAAUUCCAGGUGUAGCGGUGAAAUGCGUAGAUAUCUGGAGGAACACCGGUGGCGAAGGCGGCAUCCUGGACCGGCAUUGACGCUGAGGCGCGAAAGCCAGGGGAGCAAACGGG
Molecule: ribosomal RNA, 253 nt
Filed under: uncultured bacterium
Lineage: Bacteria
Description: partial 16S ribosomal RNA
Rfam family: Bacterial small subunit ribosomal RNA
Source: RNAcentral